Molecule: ribosomal RNA, 420 nt
Filed under: bacterium
Lineage: Bacteria
Description: partial 16S ribosomal RNA
Rfam family: Bacterial small subunit ribosomal RNA
Source: RNAcentral
UGGGGGAUAUUGCACAAUGGGCGAAAGCCUGAUGCAGCGACGCCGCGUGGGGGAUGAAGGCUUUCGGGUUGUAAACCUCUUUCGCUAUCGAACAAGGCCCGCUUAGGGUGGGGUGAGGGUAGGUGGAGAAGAAGCGCCGGCUAACUACGUGCCAGCAGCCGCGGUAAUACGUAGGGCGCGAGCGUUGUCCGGAAUUAUUGGGCGUAAAGGGCUUGUAGGCGGCUUGUUGCGCCUGCUGUGAAAACGCGGGGCUUAACUUCGCGCGUGCAGUGGGUACGGGCAGGCUUGAGUGUGGUAGGGGUGACUGGAAUUCCAGGUGUAGCGGUGGAAUGCGCCGAUAUCUGGCGGAACACCGAUGGCGAAGGCAGGUCACUGGGCCAUUACUGACGCUGAGGAGCGAAAGCAUGGGUAGCGAACAGG